Molecule: unclassified non-coding RNA, 519 nt
Filed under: uncultured Glomus
Lineage: Eukaryota; Fungi; Glomeromycota; Glomeromycetes; Glomerales; Glomeraceae
Also listed under: 1 other name
Description: SSU rRNA
Rfam family: Eukaryotic small subunit ribosomal RNA
Source: RNAcentral
AGCAGCCGCGGUAAUUCCAGCUCCAAUAGCGUAUAUUAAAGUUGUUGCAGUUAAAAAGCUCGUAGUUGAAUUUUGGGUCUGGCCGGGCGGUCCGCCCUCUGGGUGAGCACUGUUCCGACGCCGGGCCUAUCCUUCUGGUGAGUCGGCAUGUCCUUUAUUGGGUGUGCCGGGGAACCAGGACCAUUACCUUGAAAAAAUUAGAGUGUUCAAAGCAGGCGUAUGCUCGGAUACAUUAGCAUGGAAUAAUGAAAUAGGACGCGUGGUGCUAUUUUGUUGGUUUCUAGAACCGCCGUAAUGAUUAAUAGGGAUAGUUGGGGGCAUUAGUAUUCAAUUGUCAGAGGUGAAAUUCUUGGAUUUAUUGAAGACUAACUUCUGCGAAAGCAUUUGCCAAGGAUGUUUUCAUUAAUCAAGAACGAAAGUUAGGGGAUCGAAGACGAUCAGAUACCGUCGUAGUCUUAACCAUAAACUAUGCCGACUAGGAAUCGGGCGAUGUUAUUCUCAUGACUCGCCCGGCGCCUU